Molecule: ribosomal RNA, 553 nt
Filed under: Dichotomopilus funicola
Lineage: Eukaryota; Fungi; Ascomycota; Sordariomycetes; Sordariales; Chaetomiaceae
Description: eukaryotic LSU rRNA
Rfam family: 5.8S ribosomal RNA (bases 166-319)
Source: RNAcentral
UAGAAUGGCAAAACUCCAAAACCAUCGUGAACGUUACCUACAUCGUUGCUUCGGCGGGUGGCGGGCUUCGGCCCUGCCCUCGGCCCCUCUCGGGGGCCCGCCGGAGGUACACCAAACUCUUGAAUUUACAUGGCCUCUCUGAGUCUUCUGUACUGAAUAAGUCAAAACUUUCAACAACGGAUCUCUUGGUUCUGGCAUCGAUGAAGAACGCAGCGAAAUGCGAUAAGUAAUGUGAAUUGCAGAAUUCAGUGAAUCAUCGAAUCUUUGAACGCACAUUGCGCCCGCCAGUAUUCUGGCGGGCAUGCCUGUCCGAGCGUCAUUUCAACCAUCAAGCCCCCGGCUUGUGUUGGGGACCUGCGGCACACCCGCAGGCCCUGAAAACCAGUGGCGGGCUCGCUGUCCACACCGAGCGUAGUAGCAUAUCUUUGUCUCGCUCAGGGCGUGCGGCGGGUUCCGGCCGUGAAACCCACCUUCUCGAAGGUACCCAAAGGUUGACCUCGGAUCAGGUAGGAAGACCCGCUGAACUUAAGCAUAUCAAUAAGACAGGAGGAAU